CAGCAGCCACGGUAAUACGGAGGGAGCUAGCGUUGUUCGGAAUUACUGGGCGUAAAGCGCGCGUAGGCGGUUACUCAAGUCAGAGGUGAAAGCCCGGGGCUCAACCCCGGAACUGCCUUUGAAACUAGGUGACUAGAAUCUUGGAGAGGUCAGUGGAAUUCCGAGUGUAGAGGUGAAAUUCGUAGAUAUUCAAAAGAACACCAGUGGCGAAGGCGACUGACUGGACAAGUAUUGACGCUGAGGUGCGAAAGCGUGGGGAGCAAACAGGAUUAGAUACCCGAGUAGUCCCUGUCUCUUAUAC
Molecule: ribosomal RNA, 301 nt
Filed under: uncultured bacterium
Lineage: Bacteria
Description: partial 16S ribosomal RNA
Rfam family: Bacterial small subunit ribosomal RNA
Source: RNAcentral